Molecule: long non-coding RNA, 591 nt
Filed under: Pan troglodytes (chimpanzee)
Lineage: Eukaryota; Metazoa; Chordata; Mammalia; Primates; Hominidae
Description: lincRNA
Source: RNAcentral
UCCUCUAAAAAUCAGAAGACUCACAGAGAGAAUCUCCAAGAUGCUCUGGAAGAACAAUGGCCAAGCAAAAUUCUCCCGGAGGACAGAGUCUGUGGCAGUCUUUCUGGGUGACCAGCCUUCAGUGGUCCAAGAACCUGCUGCUCCCGGGUCCUCUCAUUUGAAGACACCCACCGCCUAAGGAUGAAGAGAAGCUCCUUCUUGCAGAUCUGAGGCUGAUUUCCCAACUCCCAGGAACACCCUACCCACAGCCUGUUCCCCAGACCCAGGAACUUUUCAAAUGUAGAGGAGCCUUUAGAAGGAAGCCUUGAGCAUGAGGGCAGACCCCCCUCAUCCAACCACCACCUGACUCUGUGUGAACCUGGAACUGUUAGAAUGUCUGUGCUGUGAUAAAAGGUCAUCUCCCUACAAUGUUAUGAUACAGACCUCAAACCUACAAACAUGAGGAACUUCUGCCUCUAGGUUAACUGGUUACCCACUGUACAAGACACGUUACACACAGUCCAGGAGGCGGAGCUUCUGAGAUAUCUAGAAACAGCUUAGAGGCAAAAUGACAAAAUAAAGCAGCAACAACAAAUAAAACCAAUCUUCUCG